UACGGAGGAUCCAAGCGUUAUCCGGAUUUAUUGGGUUUAAAGGGUCCGCAGGCGGGGUAUUAAGUCAGUGGUGAAAGCCGGCAGCUUAACUGUCGAACUGCCAUUGAUACUGAUACUCUUGAGUGUAAUUGAAGUGGGCGGAAUAAGUCAUGUAGCGGUGAAAUGCAUAGAUAUGACUUAGAACACCGAUUGCGAAGGCAGCUCACUAAAUUACAACUGACGCUGAGGGACGAAAGCGUAGGUAGCAAACAGG
RNAcentral lists this unclassified non-coding RNA (253 nucleotides) under uncultured Cryomorphaceae bacterium. RNAcentral describes it as "contains 16S-23S intergenic spacer region". It matches the Rfam family "Bacterial small subunit ribosomal RNA", at positions 524 to 776 of the family's 1533-position model. The record is from RNAcentral. Lineage: Bacteria; Pseudomonadati; Bacteroidota; Flavobacteriia; Flavobacteriales; Cryomorphaceae.